UUAAGUUAUUAAGGGCGCACGGUGGAUGCCUUGGCACUAGAAGCCGAUGAAGGACGUUACUAACGACGAUAUGCUUUGGGGAGCUGUAAGUAAGCUUUGAUCCAGAGAUUUCCGAAUGGGGAAACCCAGCAUGAGUUAUGUCAUGUUAUCGAUAUGUGAAUACAUAGCAUAUCAGAAGGCACACCCGGAGAACUGAAACAUCUUAGUACCCGGAGGAAGAGAAAGAAAAUUCGAUUCCCUUAGUAGCGGCGAGCGAAACGGGAAGAGCCCAAACCAACAAGCUUGCUUGUUGGGGUUGUAGGACACUCUAUACGGAGUUACAAAGGACGACAUUAGACGAAUCAUCUGGAAAGAUGAAUCAAAGAAGGUAAUAAUCCUGUAGUCGAAAAUGUUGUCUCUCUUGAGUGGAUCCUGAGUACGACGGAGCACGUGAAAUUCCGUCGGAAUCUGGGAGGACCAUCUCCUAAGGCUAAAUACUCUCUAGUGACCGAUAGUGAACCAGUACCGUGAGGGAAAGGUGAAAAGCACCCCGGAAGGGGAGUGAAAUAGAACCUGAAACCGUGUGCUUACAAGUAGUCAGAGCUCGUUAAUGGGUGAUGGCGUGCCUUUUGUAGAAUGAACCGGCGAGUUACGAUUUGAUGCAAGGUUAAGCAGUAAAUGUGGAGCCGUAGCGAAAGCGAGUCUGAAUAGGGCGUUUAGUAUUUGGUCGUAGACCCGAAACCAGGUGAUCUACCCUUGGUCAGGUUGAAGUUCAGGUAACACUGAAUGGAGGACCGAACCGACUUACGUUGAAAAGUGAGCGGAUGAACUGAGGGUAGCGGAGAAAUUCCAAUCGAACCUGGAGAUAGCUGGUUCUCUCCGAAAUAGCUUUAGGGCUAGCCUCAAGUGAUGAUUAUUGGAGGUAGAGCACUGUUUGGACGAGGGGCCCCUCUCGGGUUACCGAAUUCAGACAAACUCCGAAUGCCAAUUAAUUUAACUUGGGAGUCAGAACAUGGGUGAUAAGGUCCGUGUUCGAAAGGGAAACAGCCCAGACCACCAGCUAAGGUCCCAAAAUAUAUGUUAAGUGGAAAAGGAUGUGGCGUUGCCCAGACAACUAGGAUGUUGGCUUAGAAGCAGCCAUCAUUUAAAGAGUGCGUAAUAGCUCACUAGUCGAGUGACACUGCGCCGAAAAUGUACCGGGGCUAAACAUAUUACCGAAGCUGUGGAUUGUCCUUUGGACAAUGGUAGGAGAGCGUUCUAAGGGCGUUGAAGCAUGAUCGUAAGGACAUGUGGAGCGCUUAGAAGUGAGAAUGCCGGUGUGAGUAGCGAAAGACGGGUGAGAAUCCCGUCCACCGAUUGACUAAGGUUUCCAGAGGAAGGCUCGUCCGCUCUGGGUUAGUCGGGUCCUAAGCUGAGGCCGACAGGCGUAGGCGAUGGAUAACAGGUUGAUAUUCCUGUACCACCUAUAAUCGUUUUAAUCGAUGGGGGGACGCAGUAGGAUAGGCGAAGCGUGCGAUUGGAUUGCACGUCUAAGCAGUAAGGCUGAGUAUUAGGCAAAUCCGGUACUCGUUAAGGCUGAGCUGUGAUGGGGAGAAGACAUUGUGUCUUCGAGUCGUUGAUUUCACACUGCCGAGAAAAGCCUCUAGAUAGAAAAUAGGUGCCCGUACCGCAAACCGACACAGGUAGUCAAGAUGAGAAUUCUAAGGUGAGCGAGCGAACUCUCGUUAAGGAACUCGGCAAAAUGACCCCGUAACUUCGGGAGAAGGGGUGCUCUUUAGGGUUAACGCCCAGAAGAGCCGCAGUGAAUAGGCCCAAGCGACUGUUUAUCAAAAACACAGGUCUCUGCUAAACCGUAAGGUGAUGUAUAGGGGCUGACGCCUGCCCGGUGCUGGAAGGUUAAGAGGAGUGGUUAGCUUCUGCGAAGCUACGAAUCGAAGCCCCAGUAAACGGCGGCCGUAACUAUAACGGUCCUAAGGUAGCGAAAUUCCUUGUCGGGUAAGUUCCGACCCGCACGAAAGGCGUAACGAUUUGGGCACUGUCUCAACGAGAGACUCGGUGAAAUCAUAGUACCUGUGAAGAUGCAGGUUACCCGCGACAGGACGGAAAGACCCCGUGGAGCUUUACUGUAGCCUGAUAUUGAAAUUCGGCACAGCUUGUACAGGAUAGGUAGGAGCCUUUGAAACGUGAGCGCUAGCUUACGUGGAGGCGCUGGUGGGAUACUACCCUAGCUGUGUUGGCUUUCUAACCCGCACCACUUAUCGUGGUGGGAGACAGUGUCAGGCGGGCAGUUUGACUGGGGCGGUCGCCUCCUAAAAGGUAACGGAGGCGCUCAAAGGUUCCCUCAGAAUGGUUGGAAAUCAUUCAUAGAGUGUAAAGGCAUAAGGGAGCUUGACUGCGAGACCUACAAGUCGAGCAGGGUCGAAAGACGGACUUAGUGAUCCGGUGGUUCCGCAUGGAAGGGCCAUCGCUCAACGGAUAAAAGCUACCCCGGGGAUAACAGGCUUAUCUCCCCCAAGAGUUCACAUCGACGGGGAGGUUUGGCACCUCGAUGUCGGCUCAUCGCAUCCUGGGGCUGUAGUCGGUCCCAAGGGUUGGGCUGUUCGCCCAUUAAAGCGGUACGCGAGCUGGGUUCAGAACGUCGUGAGACAGUUCGGUCCCUAUCCGUCGUGGGCGUAGGAAAUUUGAGAGGAGCUGUCCUUAGUACGAGAGGACCGGGAUGGACAUACCUCUGGUGUACCAGUUGUCGUGCCAACGGCAUAGCUGGGUAGCUAUGUGUGGACGGGAUAAGUGCUGAAAGCAUCUAAGCAUGAAGCCCCCCUCAAGAUGAGAUUUCCCAACUUCGGUUAUAAGAUCCCUCAAAGAUGAUGAGGUUAAUAGGUUCGAGGUGGAAGCAUGGUGACAUGUGGAGCUGACGAAUACUAAUCGAUCGGAGACUUAAUCAA
RNAcentral lists this ribosomal RNA (2921 nucleotides) under Staphylococcus aureus. RNAcentral describes it as "bacterial LSU rRNA". It matches the Rfam family "Bacterial large subunit ribosomal RNA". The record is from RNAcentral. Lineage: Bacteria; Bacillati; Bacillota; Bacilli; Caryophanales; Staphylococcaceae.